GKCCCUAGUACGAGAGGACCGGGACGGACGAACCUCUGGUGUGCCAGUUGUUCUGCCAAGGGCAUGGCUGGUUGGCUACGUUCGGGAGGGAUAACCGCUGAAAGCAUCUAAGCGGGAAGCCUGCUUCGAGAUGAGGACUCCCACCCACUUGAUGGGGUAAGGCUCCCAGUAGACGACUGGGUUGAUAGGCCGGAUCUGGAAGCACGGUAACGUGUGGAGGUGACCGGUACUAAUAGGCCGAGGGCUUGUCCAU
RNAcentral lists this ribosomal RNA (253 nucleotides) under Streptomyces sp. PBH53. Its description in RNAcentral is "partial 23S ribosomal RNA". It matches the Rfam family "Bacterial large subunit ribosomal RNA", at positions 2674 to 2925 of the family's 2925-position model. The record is from RNAcentral. Lineage: Bacteria; Bacillati; Actinomycetota; Actinomycetes; Kitasatosporales; Streptomycetaceae.